RNAcentral lists this ribosomal RNA (668 nucleotides) under uncultured Pseudomonas sp. RNAcentral describes it as "bacterial SSU rRNA". It matches the Rfam family "Bacterial small subunit ribosomal RNA", at positions 28 to 694 of the family's 1533-position model. Lineage: Bacteria; Pseudomonadati; Pseudomonadota; Gammaproteobacteria; Pseudomonadales; Pseudomonadaceae. The record is from RNAcentral.
AUUGAACGCUGGCGGCAGGCCUAACACAUGCAAGUCGAGCGGUAGAGAGAAGCUUGCUUCUCUUGAGAGCGGCGGACGGGUGAGUAAUGCCUAGGAAUCUGCCUGGUAGUGGGGGAUAACGUUCGGAAACGGACGCUAAUACCGCAUACGUCCUACGGGAGAAAGCAGGGGACCUUCGGGCCUUGCGCUAUCAGAUGAGCCUAGGUCGGAUUAGCUAGUUGGUGAGGUAAUGGCUCACCAAGGCGACGAUCCGUAACUGGUCUGAGAGGAUGAUCAGUCACACUGGAACUGAGACACGGUCCAGACUCCUACGGGAGGCAGCAGUGGGGAAUAUUGGACAAUGGGCGAAAGCCUGAUCCAGCCAUGCCGCGUGUGUGAAGAAGGUCUUCGGAUUGUAAAGCACUUUAAGUUGGGAGGAAGGGUUGUAGAUUAAUACUCUGCAAUUUUGACGUUACCGACAGAAUAAGCACCGGCUAACUCUGUGCCAGCAGCCGCGGUAAUACAGAGGGUGCAAGCGUUAAUCGGAAUUACUGGGCGUAAAGCGCGCGUAUGUGGUUUGUUAAGUUGGAUGUGAAAUCCCCGGGCUCAACCUGGUAACUGCAUUUGAAUUGACUGAUUCAGUCUGGGAAAAGGUGGUGGACUUUCCUGUGUAGCGGGAAAAGGAGGGA